RNAcentral lists this ribosomal RNA (445 nucleotides) under uncultured bacterium. RNAcentral's name for it is "partial 16S ribosomal RNA". It matches the Rfam family "Bacterial small subunit ribosomal RNA", at positions 354 to 796 of the family's 1533-position model. The record is from RNAcentral.
GUUAGGAAUAUUGGUCAAUGGGCGGGAGCCUGAACCAGCCAAGUCGCGUGAAGGAAGAAGGAUCUAUGGUUCGUAAACUUCUUUUGCAGGGGAAUAAAGUGCAGGACGUGUCCUGUUUUGUAUGUACCCUGAGAAUAAGGAUCGGCUAACUCCGUGCCAGCAGCCGCGGUAAUACGGAGGAUCCGAGCGUUAUCCGGAUUUAUUGGGUUUAAAGGGUGCGUAGGUGGUUUGAUAAGUCAGCGGUGAAAGUUUGCAGCUUAACUGUAAAAAUGCCGUUGAAACUGUCGGACUUGAGUGUAAAUGAGGUAGGCGGAAUGCGUGGUGUAGCGGUGAAAUGCAUAGAUAUCACGCAGAACUCCGAUUGCGAAGGCAGCUUACUAAGCUACAACUGACACUGAAGCACGAAAGCGUGGGGAUCAAACAGGAUUAGAUACCCGGGUAGUCC